This is a long non-coding RNA of Etheostoma cragini (Arkansas darter), 134 nucleotides long. RefSeq lists it as uncharacterized. The record is from RefSeq and is a predicted model, not a curated record. NCBI's taxonomy places the organism in Eukaryota, Metazoa, Chordata, Actinopteri, Perciformes, Percidae. The transcript has 3 exons.
GGAACUCUGGUUUGGUGCAGGUUGGCGCAGUUUGGUUUGUUGCCUUUUGUGGAGCCUGGGCUGUCUACGGAGACCGCAUGUUUUUUACAGUGUGUUCAGGGGACAGGCAGCUAGCAGAUAGUGAGGAGAUGUUU